UACGAAGGGGGCUAGCGUUGUUCGGAAUUACUGGGCGUAAAGCGCACGUAGGCGGAUUUGUAAGUCAGGGGUGAAAUCCCGGGGCUCAACCUCGGAACUGCCUUUGAUACUGCAAGUCUCGAGUCCGAUAGAGGUGAGUGGAAUUCCUAGUGUAGAGGUGAAAUUCGUAGAUAUUAGGAAGAACACCAGUGGCGAAGGCGGCUCACUGGAUCGGUACUGACGCUGAGGUGCGAAAGCGUGGGGAGCAAACAGGG
RNAcentral lists this ribosomal RNA (254 nucleotides) under uncultured bacterium. RNAcentral describes it as "partial 16S ribosomal RNA". It matches the Rfam family "Bacterial small subunit ribosomal RNA", at positions 524 to 777 of the family's 1533-position model. The record is from RNAcentral.